This 558-nucleotide ribosomal RNA is filed under the name uncultured bacterium. RNAcentral describes it as "bacterial SSU rRNA". It matches the Rfam family "Bacterial small subunit ribosomal RNA", at positions 776 to 1333 of the family's 1533-position model. The record is from RNAcentral.
AAAUAGAUACCCCGGUAGUCCACGCCGUAAACGAUGAGUGCUAAGUGUUAGGGGGUUUCCGCCCCUUAGUGCGUGCAGCUAACGCAUUAAGCACUCCGCCUGGGGAGUACGGUCGCAAGACUGAAACUCAAAGGAAUUGACGGGGGGCCCGCACAAGCGGUGGAGCAUGUGGUUUAAUUCGAAGCAACGCGAAGAACCUUACCAGGUCUUGACAUCCCAUUGACCACUAUGGAGACAUAGUUUUCCCUUCGGGGACAACGGUGACAGGUGGUGCAUGGUUGUCGUCAGCUCGUGUCGUGAGAUGUUGGGUUAAGUCCCGCAACGAGCGCAACCCUUGUUCUUAGUUGCCAUCAUUUAGUUGGGCACUCUAAGGAGACUGCCGGUGACAAACCGGAGGAAGGUGGGGAUGACGUCAAAUCAUCAUGCCCCUUAUGACCUGGGCUACACACGUGCUACAAUGGACGGUACAAACGGUUGCCAACCCGCGAGGGGGAGCUAAUCCGAUAAAACCGUUCUCAGUUCGGAUUGUAGGCUGCAACGUCGCCUACAUGAAGGACC